UACGUAGGGGGCAAGCGUUGUCCGGAAUCAUUGGGCGUAAAGCGCGUGUAGGCGGUUUCGUAAGUCUGCUGUGAAAGUCGGAGGCUCAACCUUCGAAAGCCGGUGGAUACUGCGGGACUAGAGUGCGGAAGAGGCAAGUGGAAUUCCUGGUGUAGCGGUGAAAUGCGCAGAUAUCAGGAGGAACACCAACGGCGAAGGCAGCUUGCUGGGACGUUACUGACGCUGAGACGCGACAGCGUGGGGAGCAAACAGG
Molecule: ribosomal RNA, 253 nt
Filed under: uncultured bacterium
Lineage: Bacteria
Description: partial 16S ribosomal RNA
Rfam family: Bacterial small subunit ribosomal RNA
Source: RNAcentral